RNAcentral lists this ribosomal RNA (2367 nucleotides) under Klebsiella quasipneumoniae. RNAcentral's name for it is "partial 23S ribosomal RNA". It matches the Rfam family "Bacterial large subunit ribosomal RNA", at positions 590 to 2925 of the family's 2925-position model. The record is from RNAcentral. Lineage: Bacteria; Pseudomonadati; Pseudomonadota; Gammaproteobacteria; Enterobacterales; Enterobacteriaceae.
GGUGUGACUGCGUACCUUUUGUAUAAUGGGUCAGCGACUUAUAUUCUGUAGCAAGGUUAACCGUAUAGGGGAGCCGCAGGGAAACCGAGUCUUAACUGGGCGUUAAGUUGCAGGGUAUAGACCCGAAACCCGGUGAUCUAGCCAUGGGCAGGUUGAAGGUUGGGUAACACUAACUGGAGGACCGAACCGACUAAUGUUGAAAAAUUAGCGGAUGACUUGUGGCUGGGGGUGAAAGGCCAAUCAAACCGGGAGAUAGCUGGUUCUCCCCGAAAGCUAUUUAGGUAGCGCCUCGUGAACUCAUCUUCGGGGGUAGAGCACUGUUUCGGCUAGGGGGUCAUCCCGACUUACCAACCCGAUGCAAACUACGAAUACCGAAGAAUGUUAUCACGGGAGACACACGGCGGGUGCUAACGUCCGUCGUGAAGAGGGAAACAACCCAGACCGCCAGCUAAGGUCCCAAAGUCAUGGUUAAGUGGGAAACGAUGUGGGAAGGCACAGACAGCCAGGAUGUUGGCUUAGAAGCAGCCAUCAUUUAAAGAAAGCGUAAUAGCUCACUGGUCGAGUCGGCCUGCGCGGAAGAUGUAACGGGGCUAAACCAUGCACCGAAGCUGCGGCAGCGACACUAUGUGUUGUUGGGUAGGGGAGCGUUCUGUAAGCCUGCGAAGGUGACCUGUGAGGGUUGCUGGAGGUAUCAGAAGUGCGAAUGCUGACAUAAGUAACGAUAAAGCGGGUGAAAAGCCCGCUCGCCGGAAGACCAAGGGUUCCUGUCCAACGUUAAUCGGGGCAGGGUGAGUCGACCCCUAAGGCGAGGCCGAAAGGCGUAGUCGAUGGGAAACAGGUUAAUAUUCCUGUACUUGGUGUUACUGCGAAGGGGGGACGGAGAAGGCUAUGUUAGCCGGGCGACGGUUGUCCCGGUUUAAGCAUGUAGGCUGGUUAUCCAGGCAAAUCCGGAUAAUCAAGGCUGAGGUGUGAUGACGAGGCACUACGGUGCUGAAGUAACAAAUGCCCUGCUUCCAGGAAAAGCCUCUAAGCAUCAGGUAACACGAAAUCGUACCCCAAACCGACACAGGUGGUCAGGUAGAGAAUACCAAGGCGCUUGAGAGAACUCGGGUGAAGGAACUAGGCAAAAUGGUGCCGUAACUUCGGGAGAAGGCACGCUGGUGUGUAGGUGAAGUCCCUGCGGAUGGAGCUGAGACCAGUCGAAGAUACCAGCUGGCUGCAACUGUUUAUUAAAAACACAGCACUGUGCAAACACGAAAGUGGACGUAUACGGUGUGACGCCUGCCCGGUGCCGGAAGGUUAAUUGAUGGGGUUAUCCGUAAGGAGAAGCUCUUGAUCGAAGCCCCGGUAAACGGCGGCCGUAACUAUAACGGUCCUAAGGUAGCGAAAUUCCUUGUCGGGUAAGUUCCGACCUGCACGAAUGGCGUAAUGAUGGCCAGGCUGUCUCCACCCGAGACUCAGUGAAAUUGAACUCGCUGUGAAGAUGCAGUGUACCCGCGGCAAGACGGAAAGACCCCGUGAACCUUUACUAUAGCUUGACACUGAACAUUGAGCCUUGAUGUGUAGGAUAGGUGGGAGGCUUUGAAGCGUGGACGCCAGUCUGCGUGGAGCCAACCUUGAAAUACCACCCUUUAAUGUUUGAUGUUCUAACGUUGGCCCCUUACCGGGGUUGCGGACAGUGUCUGGUGGGUAGUUUGACUGGGGCGGUCUCCUCCCAAAGCGUAACGGAGGAGCACGAAGGUUAGCUAAUCCUGGUCGGACAUCAGGAGGUUAGUGCAAUGGCAUAAGCUAGCUUGACUGCGAGCGUGACGGCGCGAGCAGGUGCGAAAGCAGGUCAUAGUGAUCCGGUGGUUCUGAAUGGAAGGGCCAUCGCUCAACGGAUAAAAGGUACUCCGGGGAUAACAGGCUGAUACCGCCCAAGAGUUCAUAUCGACGGCGGUGUUUGGCACCUCGAUGUCGGCUCAUCACAUCCUGGGGCUGAAGUAGGUCCCAAGGGUAUGGCUGUUCGCCAUUUAAAGUGGUACGCGAGCUGGGUUUAGAACGUCGUGAGACAGUUCGGUCCCUAUCUGCCGUGGGCGCUGGAGAAUUGAGGGGGGCUGCUCCUAGUACGAGAGGACCGGAGUGGACGCAUCACUGGUGUUCGGGUUGUCAUGCCAAUGGCACUGCCCGGUAGCUAAAUGCGGAAGAGAUAAGUGCUGAAAGCAUCUAAGCACGAAACUUGCCCCGAGAUGAGUUCUCCCUGAGACUUUAAGUCUCCUGAAGGAACGUUGAAGACGACGACGUUGAUAGGCCGGGUGUGUAAGCGCAGCGAUGCGUUGAGCUAACCGGUACUAAUGAACCGUGAGGCUUAACCUUACAACGCCGAAG